UCCCUGGUGGUCCAGUGGUUAAGACUCCGCGCUGCCAAUGCAAGGGGCACAGGUUUGAUCCCUGGUCAGGGAA
RNAcentral lists this transfer RNA (73 nucleotides) under Bos taurus (domestic cattle). It matches the Rfam family "tRNA". From Rfam's summary of the family: Transfer RNA (tRNA) molecules are approximately 80 nucleotides in length. Their secondary structure includes four short double-helical elements and three loops (D, anti-codon, and T loops). The record is from Rfam by way of RNAcentral. Lineage: Eukaryota; Metazoa; Chordata; Mammalia; Artiodactyla; Bovidae. RNAcentral also lists the same sequence under 1 other name.